GACGAACGCUGGCGGCGUGCCUAAUACAUGCAAGUUGAGCGCUGAAGGUUGGUACUUGUACCAACUGGAUGAGCAGCGAACGGGUGAGUAACGCGUGGGGAAUCUGCCUUUGAGCGGGGGACAACAUUUGGAAACGAAUGCUAAUACCGCAUAAAAACUUUAAACACAAGUUUUAAGUUUGAAAGAUGCAAUUGCAUCACUCAAAGAUGAUCCCGCGUUGUAUUAGCUAGUCGGUGAGGUAAAGGCUCACCAAGGCGAUGAUACAUAGCCGACCUGAGAGGGUGAUCGGCCACAUUGGGACUGAGACACGGCCCAAACUCCUACAGGAGGCAGCAGGAGGGAAUCUUCGGCAAGGGGCGAAAGUCUGACCGAGCAACGCCGCGUGAGUGAAGAAGGUUGUCGGAUCGGAAAACUCUGUUGGUAGGGAAGAACGUUGGUGAGAGUGGAAAGCUCAUCAAGUGACGGUAACUACCCAGAAAGGGACGGCUAACUACGUG
RNAcentral lists this ribosomal RNA (497 nucleotides) under uncultured bacterium. RNAcentral describes it as "partial 16S ribosomal RNA". It matches the Rfam family "Bacterial small subunit ribosomal RNA", at positions 28 to 507 of the family's 1533-position model. The record is from RNAcentral.